RNAcentral lists this ribosomal RNA (397 nucleotides) under uncultured soil bacterium. RNAcentral's name for it is "bacterial SSU rRNA". It matches the Rfam family "Bacterial small subunit ribosomal RNA", at positions 26 to 433 of the family's 1533-position model. The record is from RNAcentral.
AGGAUGAACGUUGGCGGCGUGCCUAACACAUGCAAGUCGAACGGUGGUAGCAAUACUACAGUGGCGCACGGGUGAGUAACACGUAGCUUACCUCCCUCUCAGCGCGGGAUAACGGCUCGAAAGAGCUGCUAAUACCGCAUAAGCUCACGGGUUCCAGAGACUUGUGAGAAAAGGUGCAAAUCACUGAGAGACGGGGCUGCGGCCCAUCAGCUAGUGGCGAGGUAAAGGCUCACCAAGGCGACGACGGGUAGGGACCUGAGAGGGUCGACCCCCCACACUGGACUGAGACACGGCCCAGACUCCGUACGGGAGGCAGCAGUGAGGAAUAUGCACAAUGGGCGCGAAGCCUGAUGCAGCGACGCCGCGUGGGUGAUGGAAGUCUGAUACGUAAACGUCC